Molecule: long non-coding RNA, 1155 nt
Filed under: Lathyrus oleraceus (garden pea)
Lineage: Eukaryota; Viridiplantae; Streptophyta; Magnoliopsida; Fabales; Fabaceae
Description: Pisum sativum (pea) long non-coding RNA (PSAT_LNC037244)
Source: RNAcentral
AUUUGAAUUGGAUUAGAGUCAAGUAAUAAUAAGUAUGAUAAUUUCAUCUUUACUUUUGAUUCUAUUUAAUUUGAUUAAAGAAGGUCAACUAUUUGGUCUUUUUAUAAAUAGAUAUUAUGUUUACAUGAAAAUUCAAAAAAAUUUACAUUCCUUUUUACAUUGAUUUUUAAUUCACAAAAAAUAAAAAUAAAAAUUUUACAUUAUGAUAAUAGCACACAUGUUUUACAUUUAAAAAAAAAUCAGCAAAAUUAUAAAAGAAAGGUAUGUCUAGGUGGUGCUCUCAAGAGAGGUUUGCUAGUUUUGUUCGGAUUGAAACACAUAGAAAAAUAGUCUUCCAAAGUUUCAAAACCAUAACAAAAAAAAUUCAAAGAGAAAAACUGAGAAGUUCAAAGAAUACGAGACUUUCCUUAAGUCACUUAGGCCACCCAAAUUCCGGAAAAAAAUACAACACAAAAAAAAACUCAAAUUCAUAAAAACCAUAACUUUUUUUACGGUAAGAAAAAUCCAUGCACUAUUACAACAGAAACACAAAUUGAAUCAUUGGCACAAGUUUGAACAAAGAAGAGCACGAAAUCAGAGGGAAGAAGGGGAUGAUCCGAAAUUGACAAUAAAGAUUUCAAAUUUAUUUUUUCCCUACCUGAGCAUCUAGAUAGUUCCUUUGCUUCUCUUAGAUCAUAUUCGUGUCAACUUUGAUUCUUUGCAUAUUGUUGUUCCGCCUUGAUUUUUUAGAUUUUCGCUCCCUCACAUAGGCUUCUUAGGUCGUGUUUGAACAUAAAAUGGGGGAUUUAUUUCUUUUGAAACUCGAUUUCAGUUUGGCUUGACUAUUUUCAUAGGUUUGGUUUAGUGAUCAUCCAUGGAGUUUUGUUUUUUUUUAAUGACCGAUUUUGCAGGAAAAAAAAUGGAACGGUUGAGUUUGAAGAAGGAGGAUCGUGUUUUUUCUCUGAAAGACAAAACGACCGUGUAAUAUCUUAGGGUUUUCCUCCCUUCUCAUAAUGCAUAGCUGAACUAGUUUAUGGGGGGAUCCGACCCGCCCCUCAUGGACCCAGCCCCAGUGGGCUCCUUUUUCGUGGGCUUCAAAAGCCUAUUUACUUUUCAUCUCAAUUGAUAUUGAAAUCCCUAGACCCUUUCGGUUUUUUUAUUUGGUUAAUUUUAGUA